Molecule: ribosomal RNA, 460 nt
Filed under: uncultured bacterium
Lineage: Bacteria
Description: partial 16S ribosomal RNA
Rfam family: Bacterial small subunit ribosomal RNA
Source: RNAcentral
CCUACGAGCGGCAGCAGUGAGGAAUAUUGGUCAAUGGACGAGAGUCUGAACCAGCCAAGUAGCGUGAAGGAUGACUGCCCUAUGGGUUGUAAACUUCUUUUAUAUGGGAAUAAAAUGUUCCACGUGUGCCUUUUUGUAUGUACUUUAUGAAUAAGGAUCGGCUAACUCCGUGCCAGCAGCCGCGGUAAUACGGAGGAUCUGAGCGUUAUCCGGAUUUAUUGGGUUUAAAGGGAGCGUAGAUGGGUUGUUAAGUCAGUUGUGAAAGUUUGCGGCUCAACCGUAAAAUUGCAAUUGAUACUGGCAGUCUUGAGUACAGUUGAGGUAGGCGGAAUUCGUGGUGUAGCGGUGAAAUGCUUAGAUAUCACGAAGAACUCCGAUUGCGAAGGCAGCUUACUAAACUGCCACUGACAUUGAUGCUCGAAAGUGUGGGUAUCAAACAGGAUUAGAUACCCCUGUAGUC